This 253-nucleotide non-coding RNA is filed under the name uncultured bacterium. Its description in RNAcentral is "partial 16S ribosomal RNA". It matches the Rfam family "Bacterial small subunit ribosomal RNA", at positions 524 to 776 of the family's 1533-position model. The record is from RNAcentral. RNAcentral also lists the same sequence under 1 other name.
UACGUAGGGGGCCAGCGUUGCUCGGAAUUACUGGGCGUAAAGGGUUCGUAGGCGGUGCGGCAAGUUGGGAGUGAAAUCUCUGGGCUUAACCCAGAGGCUGCUUUCAAAACUGCCGUGCUCGAGUGCGGGAGAGGCCAGUGGAAUUGCAGGUGUAGCGGUGAAAUGCGUAGAUAUCUGCAGGAACACCCGUGGCGAAGGCGGCUGGCUGGACCGCAACUGACGCUGAGGAACGAAAGCUAGGGGAGCAAACAGG